GACGUAGGGCGCGAGCGUUGUCCGGAUUUAUUGGGCGUAAAGAGCUCGUAGGCGGCUUGUCGCGUCGUUCGUGAAACCUGCAGCUCAACUGCAGGCUUGCGGUCGAUACGGGCAGACUAGAGUGCGGUAGGGGAGAUUGGAAUUCCUGGUGUAGCGGUGGAAUGCGCAGAUAUCAGGAAGAACACCGGUGGCGAAGGCGGCUCUCUGGGCCUUACCUGACGCUGAGGAGCGAAAGCGUGGGUAGCGAACAGG
Molecule: ribosomal RNA, 252 nt
Filed under: uncultured bacterium
Lineage: Bacteria
Description: partial 16S ribosomal RNA
Rfam family: Bacterial small subunit ribosomal RNA
Source: RNAcentral